UUGAAUUUAAUGAGGAGUUGGUUGUUGCUGGCCUUGGGGUUUUUUUAAUUAAUUAUUCCGGGCACUUGUGCACGCCUUCUCUUUCAUCCACACACACCUGUGCACUUGUGAGACAGACUGUGGGGGACUUUAUUGGACUCCCGUCUGUCUACUUAAUUCACACACACUCUAUUUAAUUUAAACUGAAUGUAAUUGAUGUAACGCAUCUAAUAC
Molecule: unclassified non-coding RNA, 213 nt
Filed under: uncultured Ceratobasidium
Lineage: Eukaryota; Fungi; Basidiomycota; Agaricomycetes; Cantharellales; Ceratobasidiaceae
Description: sequence contains ITS1
Source: RNAcentral